Molecule: ribosomal RNA, 253 nt
Filed under: uncultured bacterium
Lineage: Bacteria
Description: partial 16S ribosomal RNA
Rfam family: Bacterial small subunit ribosomal RNA
Source: RNAcentral
UACGUAGGGUCCGAGCGUUGUCCGGAAUUACUGGGCGUAAAGAGCUCGUAGGUGGUUUGUCGCGUUGUUCGUGAAAACUCACAGCUUAACUGUGGGCGUGCGGGCGAUACGGGCAGACUUGAGUACUGCAGGGGAGACUGGAAUUCCUGGUGUAGCGGUGGAAUGCGCAGAUAUCAGGAGGAACACCGGUGGCGAAGGCGGGUCUCUGGGCAGUAACUGACGCUGAGGAGCGAAAGCAUGGGGAGCGAACAGG